CCUACGGGUGGCUGCAGUGGGGAAUUUUGGACAAUGGGCGAAAGCCUGAUCCAGCAAUGCCGCGUGAGUGAAGAAGGCCUUCGGGUUGUAAAGCUCUUUCAGUCGAGAAGAAAAGGUUAUGACUAAUAAUCGUAAUCAAUGACGGUAUCGACAGAAGAAGCACCGGCUAACUACGUGCCAGCAGCCGCGGUAAUACGUAGGGUGCGAGCGUUAAUCGGAAUUACUGGGCGUAAAGGGUGCGCAGGCGGUUUUGUAAGUCAGAUGUGAAAUCCCCG
This 275-nucleotide ribosomal RNA is filed under the name uncultured bacterium. RNAcentral's name for it is "partial 16S ribosomal RNA". It matches the Rfam family "Bacterial small subunit ribosomal RNA", at positions 338 to 605 of the family's 1533-position model. The record is from RNAcentral.